GGGUUGUGAGGUUAAGCGACUAAGCGUACACGGUGGAUGCCUAGGCAGUCAGAGGCGAUGAAGGGCGUGCUAAUCUGCG
This 79-nucleotide ribosomal RNA is filed under the name Yersinia pestis subsp. pestis. RNAcentral describes it as "partial 23S ribosomal RNA". Lineage: Bacteria; Pseudomonadati; Pseudomonadota; Gammaproteobacteria; Enterobacterales; Yersiniaceae. The record is from RNAcentral.